AUUCAGCUGACGAGUCCCGAAUAGGACAAAACCUGCGUCCUGAAA
This 45-nucleotide non-coding RNA is filed under the name Schistosoma haematobium. Lineage: Eukaryota; Metazoa; Platyhelminthes; Trematoda; Strigeidida; Schistosomatidae. The record is from RNAcentral.